Molecule: ribosomal RNA, 398 nt
Filed under: uncultured bacterium
Lineage: Bacteria
Description: partial 16S ribosomal RNA
Rfam family: Bacterial small subunit ribosomal RNA
Source: RNAcentral
CCUACGGGCGGCAGCAGUGAGGAAUAUUGGUCAAUGGGCUUACGCCUGAACCAGCCAAGUCGCGUGAGGGAAGACUGCCCUAUGGGUUGUAAACCUCUUUUGUCAGGGAGCAACGCCCGCUACGUGUAGCCGGACGGAGAGUACCUGGAGAAAAAGCAUCGGCUAACUCCGUGCCAGCAGCCGCGGUAAUACGGAAGGUCCGGGCGUUAUCCGGAUUUAUUGGGUUUAAAGGGAGCGUAGGCCGGCUUUUAAGUCAGCUGUGAAAGCCCGCGGCUCAACCGUGGAAUUGCAGUUGAAACUGGAAGCCUCGAGUUGACACAGAGAUGCCGGAAUGCAUGGUGUAGCGGUGAAAUGCAUAGAUAUCAUGAAGAACUCCGAUUGCGAAGGCAAGUGUCCGG